Molecule: non-coding RNA, 1840 nt
Organism: Coturnix japonica (Japanese quail)
Lineage: Eukaryota; Metazoa; Chordata; Aves; Galliformes; Phasianidae
Source: RefSeq, a predicted model, not a curated record
AUUAUCCAUUAGAAGAUUUAUCUCUGCUUCACAUUCAAGAGCUUUCGUGGCACCCGUACUUGAAUAAUUUUGCUACUGAUGGCUACUUGGUGGUUUUGGACUGUGUAAUUAUACAUCCACAGGGAGAAAAAGGCAUACUGCCAAAGCAUUUCAAGUGCUAUCUCAGCAAUGCAAAAGACUUGGCAUUUCCCACUGUCAUUUUUCAUUCUCAAAGUGCUAUAAACAUAUGCUGAAGAAAAUAUUUCAAGUACCUGGGAAGAGUAACGCAGUGCACUAUCAGCUCAACUCUUCUGGACAUAUUUAUUUAUUAUGCUAAAUGCAGGCAUCAUUAGAAACUAGUUGUCACAGAAGGAAUUAUUAUCCUUUUCGUUACUGUUGCACAGAUUUACUGUCUUUCUCCAUUGUCUCUUUUUUAGUUAUCAGAAUAAGACAAGUGAUACUCCAGCCCUUUCCCCACUACGUCACAUAGAAGAUACCAUACGAACUGCUAUAUUUUCUUAAUCUGUCCUUAUGUUUAAUCCAGGGAACAAAAUGAGGAAAGAGCUGAGUAUAUUGCUGCAGUUUAGUACCAGUGUUCCAUCGACUUGCAACAUAGUGUGGAUUCAGCAAGAAGUGUCCCAAGAAACGGUGGAACAUAGGAUGGAAAAUAACAGUGACAUCCACCUUUGUGCCAGGCACAGUAUGACUUACUACUUGUUGUUAAAAAGUUGGAAAGAAGCAAAACCCCAGCGACAAAAAAAAAAACAACCCUACAAAGCCAACAAAUUUUCUGGGGUCUUAAGAAAAACAAAACAACAAAACAAACUGUGAGAGAAUCAUGCAAAGGAGCUGAGAAGAGAGUUUCUGAUUGCAGGAGGGACUGAACACACCAAAGCUACCAAAGUGAGAGAGACCAGCAAACAGUUGGGAUGGAUUUAUCACUAUAAACAUUGAAAAUAUAGGGGAAAGGAGCUCCUUUAUAAGGAUACGGGGAACUGGGCAGAUUGGCUUUCCCAAGGUCUGUCUCGCACAGCUGACCAUAAGGGAUUCAUUUUUUUUUGAAGGAUUGCUUUAUUCUGGUUUAUCAUGAUCUAACAAAACCUUCCUCCAGAGACCAUAACUUGAGACAGACUGUGUAUUUAUUUUAAGGAAAUAUGGGGCAGAGACACCUUAAGGCUCUAGACAUCUCAAGCUUCUGCCAUGGAAUGAUAAAUAUUUAUGUUUCUGGAGAACUGUGUUAUUUCUUUUAGUCUCUUCAUCUACCCCAAUUAUUUUGGUGGAUACUGAUAUAGAGUGUUCUUUACCCAGCAUGGCAAUUCUGAUGAUGGAAACAUCAUACCAGAAAGCAGCAACAGCCAAAAGGUGGAACUUGUGGCUCCUUACUACAAUCAGCUGAUUCAGAGGUUUGUAGCUACAUUCAGAAUCAAACCCAUGAUCUAGAACUGAUGGAAAUUUUUGUGGCUGUGGAUAAUUCGUUACUAAGGACGGACAUUAUUUUCUAUCAUUUCCUCAGAGAUACAGACGGCCAGAGUAGUUGAAAGUUUUGUAUAUUUGCCAAAAUGUCAUACAGCUUCUAUAUGCAUAUUGACCUGAAUUACUACAUCCAUCUGUUUCUUUUAUUUCAUCUCGGAUUUAAACAGUAACAUUGUUUGCUGAAUGCUGUUAUUACAGAAGACUCUAAAUUUCACCAGCCCACUUUUCAAUGACUCCCUCCUCCCUAAUUGGAAACUCUCUUUCAUUGAUCCCAUUAAAUCAAUUUUGUUUUCAAAUGAUGAGGUACUGAAAGGAGACUGCUGAUGAUAUCUUUACACAUUAAAUCCCUUGCUUUUUGAUGUUAUGAUGGAAUAAAGAAGCUAUAAUA